This 600-nucleotide ribosomal RNA is filed under the name uncultured Pezizomycotina. Its description in RNAcentral is "eukaryotic LSU rRNA". It matches the Rfam family "Eukaryotic large subunit ribosomal RNA", at positions 53 to 668 of the family's 3401-position model. Lineage: Eukaryota; Fungi; Ascomycota. The record is from RNAcentral.
CGAGAAAAGAAACCAACAGGGAUUACCUCAGUAACGGCGAGUGAAGCGGUAAUAGCUCAAAUUUGAAAUCUGGCCUCUUGGGGUCCGAGUUGUAAUUUGUAGAGGAUGUUUUGGGUACCGCCCCGGUUUAAAUUUCUUGGAACAGAAUGUCAAAGAGGGUGAGAAUCCCGUCUUGGACCGGUGGUAGGGCCUGUGUAAAACUCCUUCGACGAGUCGAGUUGUUUGGGAAUGCAGCUCAAAAUGGGUGGUAAAUUUCAUCUAAAGCUAAAUAUUGGCCAGAGACCGAUAGCGCACAAGUAGAGUGAUCGAAAGAUGAAAAGCACUUUGAAAAGAGAGUUAAACAGUAUGUGAAAUUGUUGAAAGGGAAGCGCUUGCAAUCAGACUUGAGCGCGACGGUUCCCCUGACCUUUUGGUUAGGCUACUCCGUCGUGUCCAGGCCAACAUCGGUUCUGAGGGUCGGUCAAAGGCCUUGGGAAUGUAUCUACCCACGGGUAGACUUAUAGACCAGGGUGUCAUGCGGCCUCUCGGGACCGAGGAACCGCGCUUCGGCUCGGAUGUUGGCGUAAUGGUUGUCAGCGACCCGUCUGGAAACACGGACCG